AUUUAGCUGACGAGUACUAAAUAGGACGAAACACACGUCUUAAAC
This 45-nucleotide non-coding RNA is filed under the name Schistosoma margrebowiei. The record is from RNAcentral. Lineage: Eukaryota; Metazoa; Platyhelminthes; Trematoda; Strigeidida; Schistosomatidae.